GCCAGGAUGGCAGAUCGGCUAUGCGCCCGCCUGCAGAGCGGGAAAGGGGGGUUCAACUCCCUCUCCUGGCU
Molecule: transfer RNA, 71 nt
Filed under: Microcaldota archaeon
Lineage: Archaea; Nanobdellati; Microcaldota
Description: tRNA-Cys
Rfam family: tRNA
About the family: Transfer RNA (tRNA) molecules are approximately 80 nucleotides in length. Their secondary structure includes four short double-helical elements and three loops (D, anti-codon, and T loops).
Source: RNAcentral